UCCAUCCCCAAGGUCUAUAUUGUAUUCGGAGAAAACCAGUUCCCCAAAGUUCUCUGGGCUAUGUAUGCAAACAUGCAAGCAUGCAUGCAUAUGCAUAAAUGUAAUAAAAAUACAAAUAUUUCUUAUUAAAAGAAAUAUAUGCAGGGCUCGAGAGAUGGCUCAGAGGUUAAGAGCACUGACUGCUUUUCCAGAGGACCUGGGUUGAAUUCCCAGUACAGUAGGCUCACAACUGUCUAUAACUCCAGUUCUAGGAAACCUGACACCCUCACACAGACAUACAUUCAGGCAAAAACACCAAUGCACAUAAAAUAAAACAAUAAAAAAUAUGCUAAGGUAGAAUGGAUAGAUGGUAGGCUUUGGAAUUCAGAAAACAAAUCGUGCCUAUUUUACUGUUCGCUUACACUCUCUUGGCUUUAGAAUUUUAUGCACAGAGUCUGAGAAAGUCACACAAUCAAGGAAAAGACAAACAUUGACUUUAAUGUGAGACAAUGUAGAGUUCCUUGAUAAACUCUCAUCUCCAGUAUCAGUGAUAGUUAUUGCAAUACUAUCUUUCCAAUAAGACUGAAUUUGAGAUAAUACUUUAAAAGCUCUUGGACCAGUUUCUGCUCAAUAAAUAGCAUUCCUAACUACCAAUCUAGCAGUAGAGGACAGACUAUUAUUUCAGGAUGAAUUACCAUGAUCUUGGUCAUUUGACUAGCCUUUUUGUUUUCCUUGCUUUUCACAAAUUCAGUUGUGGAAGGUACCUGGAGAGAUUUUUUUCCCUGCAGGACAGCUUGAAUUAUUCUGAUUUUUCACUUGAUUUCAGAAGUGUCUAAUUCCAGGGGAGACAACCCAGAUGCAGAUUAUAAACUUGCAUAAUGGACCUGCUCAUGUGGAGAAAACCUGUGGUUUCCUGGCAGUGAACUUGGUUACACCAAGACAAGAAUGGCCCUUGAGCAGGGCUGGAGCAGAAUCACUUUUCUCAAUAUGAGCCCUGCACAAACCAAUGGACGGCCACUGCACAGGCGGAGGCCUGUGUGAGGGCCAUUGAGCGUUACCCGUUUCUCUAAUGCAUCAUAAUUAAACACCUGUGCUCAAUAACCUCUCGCAGCUCCACUGUGGAGAGUUGCUCGAUGCUACAGUUCCUGAGGUUUUCCAUCUUCCACUUGAGAGGGUGGUCUCAAGGCUACGCUUUGGCUCCCGUAGGAAAAGAAAUAGCAGCUUCCUCCCAUAGAAAGAUUUCUUCCCCAGUUGUAGAUCUCAGGGCUUUUCAAGGACACUCAUGGAAGAAAAAAGCAUUUUGUGCAACGUGGGAAGAAUGUUUGGUUUCUCAAACUUAGCAAUGAUGAAAGUAUAUUGCAUAAUGGUGAAACAACAUGGAAACAGUGGUUUUUACUUUGCUUGUUUUAGAAGCCAUCCAUGCAGAGGAGAGAAUGUGGUGAUUUUUGAAUGAAACUGGCUGUGGGAAGAAACCAUGCAUUAUCCUGGUGCACCAGUGUUGCUAUGCCCCAUGCAGCUGAGCAGAGACACUGAUGCAUCACACAGACAUAGCUGGUCCAGGCUCUAAGCCUUCCCCAACAUAGACCGUUCCUCUAAACCUGUGAGCCAGAAUGAACAUCUUCUUCAUUAAUUGCUUCCGUUUGAUAUUUUGCUGCCAGAGGAAGAAAAAAAAAUAAUGGAUAAAGAUGCAUUUGGUUGGCUGUACACUCAAAGAACAGGAAACCAGGUUUAUCUGGAAACUGGUCAAAAAGAUGACACUCCAUGGAUUAUCUCAUCAGAAAACAUCUAUGUAUCCUAUCUACUUAUGGCGUCACCUAUGAAAUUCCAUCUUUCUAUUACAAUUGGAUGGCUUAUUUAUAGAGAAACCCGUCACUUUUCUCUGCAUCACUUCUCCUCUCCUGUGGGCUCCUACUGCUGUGAACUCCACAUUGGCGGACUAUAAACCCAUCCAAAGGGAAACUUCUACAGCUUCAUCAUUAGUUUGACUCUAUGUUUUUAUUCUGUAAGCAAUAAAACUAUAUGUCCCUGGCUAAAUGUAAAUAGAUAAGGUUUAGUAUUAUCUUUCUGGAGAUAAACUAUAAUGGUUGAGUUUUC
This is a long non-coding RNA of Peromyscus eremicus (cactus mouse), 2073 nucleotides long. RefSeq lists it as uncharacterized. The transcript is spliced from 2 exons. The record is from RefSeq and is a predicted model, not a curated record. NCBI's taxonomy places the organism in Eukaryota, Metazoa, Chordata, Mammalia, Rodentia, Cricetidae.